Molecule: long non-coding RNA, 355 nt
Organism: Saccostrea echinata
Lineage: Eukaryota; Metazoa; Mollusca; Bivalvia; Ostreida; Ostreidae
Exons: 3
Source: RefSeq, a predicted model, not a curated record
GGAUCCGAGGUUUUACCAAACACAACAAUCACCUUGUACGGAAGGUCAACUUCAUGUGGGCCUACUAUUCUGGACUUGAAAAAACAUUAUAAAAUUUAUGCAAGUACAAAUGGUCCUCGAUUGGAAAUCAUUAGCCAUGAGGAAAUUCCCCCCGCCUUCGAAGGCCGAAUGAAGAUAUACGACUGUACCUGUCAGAUUCAAAUUCAUGUGUCCAGGAGGCGAAACUCUGUAAGCUAUGAAGAUGCCCCAGAUAAAUGUAUUGUGACAACAAAUGGUCGAGAUUGUCAAUUUAGGAAUGGCUAUUGUAAAAAAAUAAAUAACAUUUGCACGUGGAAACUUUUUCCACGUGCUCAAC